RNAcentral lists this long non-coding RNA (1104 nucleotides) under Linum usitatissimum (flax). RNAcentral describes it as "long non-coding RNA (LUSI_LNC007357)". The record is from RNAcentral. Lineage: Eukaryota; Viridiplantae; Streptophyta; Magnoliopsida; Malpighiales; Linaceae.
GCUUGAUUAGUUGAUAUUUGAUAGUGAGGAUGCAUCAUUAUGUUGGUAUAAGAAGAUUGUUAUGGUUGAUGGUUUCAGCGUCAAAUAAGGAAAACAACGAUUUGACGACAAUAAAGGGGUUACAACUCAAGAAUACCUAUGCAGGUGUGAAGGUAAACGUCGUAAAUCCAUGAAACAACAAAACAGAAAACCAAGACAAGAAAUUAGACGCGGAUGAAAGGAACUUCUAAGGACAAAUUUAAACAAGGUAACUUCAAAGUGGCUUGUGGCGACCUUCAUCAAUGUUCAUUCACAUCCAAUGCAGCUACAGUAUCUCACUCGAUAUAUCCUGACUUAUCGUCGCAUAACUCUACACCAAGCUGCAUUAAUUGAUUUCUGAGAGCAGUCCGUAAUGAGAACAAGUUCAAUGCAUCACCUUGACCUCUCGGAACACGACGGGCACAAUCAUGUUGGAUACACCAGGAGGGACAUGUAUAAUCAUUCGUACAGAAGUUGUAAACAUCAUCGUAUUGUUAAUGGCCACGCUUCAACUGCAAUACUGCAUUUGGAAUAGAAGAAAAAUGAUGAUAACCAGUUCUUUGUGGAAUACAGUAUAGGUCCGGGUGAUAUAUUGAAGAAAACUAUGUGGCUGAUAGUAUGAUUAUAGCUGAUUUUUCUCUCUUCUGUGACGUAUUAGCAUUCGACACAACGUACAAAGGGAAUAAAUAUCGCAUGCCGCUAGUGAUUUUCACUAGUACGUUGUUCUAUAUGUAGAAACUGAUGAUUAUGGUUCAUUGAUUAUUCCAAUUAUAUUUCACUAUUCCUUUAUUACGAUUCCUUUAAAUGAAGCUCAUGACAUGACGACAUUGGGUCAUGUUUGAUCCAUCUUGUGUAGGGGUUAAUCAUCACUUCCAAACGUGUUUAUUUGAAAGUGCACUAUUGGAAAAUGAAAUUUACGAAAUGUAUGGGCGUUGGAAACACUAACCAAACCCUUGGGGGGGGGGAGAAAACCACAAGCAGUGAUCACGAAUGGGGACAGGGCAAUGUUGAAAGCCGUCAACCAGGUAUAUCUGAUGGCCACCCAUCGUCAUUAUAAAUGGCAUCUUGAUCAUUAACAUAAAAGGU